Molecule: ribosomal RNA, 407 nt
Filed under: uncultured bacterium
Lineage: Bacteria
Description: partial 16S ribosomal RNA
Rfam family: Bacterial small subunit ribosomal RNA
Source: RNAcentral
AUUGAACGCUGGCGGCAGGCCUAACACAUGCAAGUCGCACGGAGUGGCGGACGGGUGAGUAAUGUCUGGGACACUGCCUGAUGGAGGGGGAUAACGUCCGGAAACGGGCGCUAAUACCGCAUACUAUCAGAUGAGCCUAGGUCGGAUUAGCUAGUUGGUGGGGUAAAGGCCUACCAAGGCGACGAUCCGUAACUGGUCUGAGAGGAUGAUCAGUCACACUGGAACUGAGACACGGUCCAGACUCCUACGGGAGGCAGCAGUGGGGAAUAUUGGACAAUGGGCUAAAGCCUGAUCCCGCCAUGCCGCGUGUGUGAAGAAGGUCUUCGGAUUGUAAAGCACUUUAAGUUGGGAGGCGUUACCCGCAGAAGAAGCACCGGCUAACUCCGUGCCAGCAGCCGCGGUAAUAC